RNAcentral lists this ribosomal RNA (274 nucleotides) under uncultured bacterium. RNAcentral describes it as "partial 16S ribosomal RNA". It matches the Rfam family "Bacterial small subunit ribosomal RNA", at positions 523 to 796 of the family's 1533-position model. The record is from RNAcentral.
AUACGGAGGGUGCAAGCGUUACUCGGAAUCACUGGGCGUAAAGGAUGCGUAGGCGGAUAAUCAAGUCAAAAGUGAAAUCCUACAGCUUAACUGUAGAACUGCUUUCGAAACUGGUUAUCUAGAAUAUGGAAGAGGCAGAUGGUAUUAGUGGUGUAGGGGUAAAAUCCGUAGAGAUCACUAGGAAUACCGAUUGCGAAGGCGAUCUGCUGGGACAUUAUUGACGCUGAGGCAUGAAAGCGUGGGGAGCAAACAGGAUUAGAAACCCUAGUAGUCC